UACGUAGGGUGCAAGCGUUGUCCGGAAUUAUUGGGCGUAAAGAGCUUGUAGGCGGUUUGUCGCGUCUGCUGUGAAAUUUCGGGGCUCAACCCCGAACUUGCAGUGGGUACGGGCAGACUAGAGUGUGGUAGGGGAGACUGGAAUUCCUGGUGUAGCGGUGAAAUGCGCAGAUAUUAGGAAGAACACCAGUGGCGAAGGCGGCCACCUGGCUCGGUACUGACGCUCAGGCGCGAUAGCGUGGGGAUCAAACAGG
RNAcentral lists this ribosomal RNA (253 nucleotides) under uncultured bacterium. RNAcentral describes it as "partial 16S ribosomal RNA". It matches the Rfam family "Bacterial small subunit ribosomal RNA", at positions 524 to 776 of the family's 1533-position model. The record is from RNAcentral.